This 23-nucleotide non-coding RNA is filed under the name Arabidopsis thaliana (thale cress). The record is from RNAcentral. Lineage: Eukaryota; Viridiplantae; Streptophyta; Magnoliopsida; Brassicales; Brassicaceae.
ACUAGGGUUGGUGUCGGUCGACA